CGAUUGUGUGGCAGGCUCGGAGAGUUCCAAUGGACGAGAUUGGCAGUCUAUCAGGUACAGGCGAUCUCGUCUCAACUUGGCGAUUUACCACCCAAAUCAGCGAUUCCUUAGUUCAAAUCGGCGAUUUGACAAAGAUCAUUGUUCCGCACUCGUGGGUGCCUUCCGGGGGUCCGACGUAUAGCGAACGGAACCCGAGUUCCACUUGAGGAGUGUUGAUGAGAGUGACUGGCGUUCAGUCAUGUAUCAGCAGUACUCCUCCCUAAAGAGAGCAUGUGAUCAGGCAUGUACCGCUAGUAUCCCCCCCCAAGCAAGGUUAAGUGUAUCUAUUAAGGUCAUAACGACAAAAUGGAUUUGAUUUUGGGCAUAGUGACAGAAUCUAGUUCUAGCCAAAGCGAUAGAAUUACAAUUUAUAGUCCAAUUACGGUCAUAGUGCAGAGUGACUUUUGUUCCUCAUCAAGGCCAUAAGAUGGGAUAUAAUCAUUAAGGCCAAAGAGAUAAAAUGAUCAUCGAUUUAUUAUGGCCAAAGCAGCGGCGAAUCCAGGAUUUUUUUAUCCGGGGGGCUAAUUUUAAAUUAUUUAAUUAAAUUCAAAAAAAAAAAUUCAAUCCAAUUGUUCUAAACGAGGUGCCAUAUUUUGAUACAGAUACAUAAUAUCAUCAUUACUACACUACAAAAAACCAGCGCAGUUCUGACGUCAAAUUCUGGUGGCCAGGCCGCCGGUAUAAUGGUUCCUAGCGGCCAAGCUGACGAUAUUCCAUCGUCGAAAUUGUGAAAUACCGAUUUUAACAGAAA
This 790-nucleotide long non-coding RNA is filed under the name Zostera marina. RNAcentral's name for it is "long non-coding RNA (ZMAR_LNC000228)". The record is from RNAcentral. Lineage: Eukaryota; Viridiplantae; Streptophyta; Magnoliopsida; Alismatales; Zosteraceae.